GCCUAAAGCGUCCGUAGCCUGUUCUAUAAGUUUCCGGUUAAAUCCAUUAGCUCAACUAAUGGGCUGUCGAAAAUACUGUAGAACUAGGGAGUGGGAGAGGUAGACGGUAUUCGGUAGGAAGGGGUAAAAUCCUUUGAUCUAUUGAGGACCACCUGUGGCGAAGGCGGUCUACCAGAACACGUUCGACGGUGAGGGAUGAAAGCUGGGGGAGCAAACCGGAUUAGAUACCCGGGUAGUCCCAGCCGUAAACGAUGCAGACUCGGUGAUGCGCUGGCUUGUGGCCAGCGCAGUGCCGCAGGGAAGCCGUUAAGUUUGCCGCCUGGGAAGUACGUACGCAAGUAUGAAACUUAAAGGAAUUGGCGGGGGAGCACCACAAGGGGUGAAGCCUGCGGUUCAAUUGGAGUCAACGCCAGAAAUCUUACCCGAAGAGACAGCAGAAUGAAGGUCAAGCUGGAGACUUUACCAGACAAGCUGAGAAGUGGUGCAUGGCCGUCGCCAGCUCGUGCCGUGAGAUGCCCUGUUAAGUCAGGUAACGAGCGAGAUCCCUGCCUCUAGUUGCCACCAUUACUCUCAGGAGUAGUGGGGCGAAUUAGCGGGACCGCCGCAGUUAAUGCGGAGGAAGGAAGGGGCCACGGCAGGUCAGUAUGCCCCGAA
RNAcentral lists this ribosomal RNA (654 nucleotides) under uncultured archaeon. RNAcentral describes it as "bacterial SSU rRNA". It matches the Rfam family "Archaeal small subunit ribosomal RNA", at positions 508 to 1160 of the family's 1478-position model. The record is from RNAcentral.